RNAcentral lists this ribosomal RNA (427 nucleotides) under uncultured beta proteobacterium. RNAcentral's name for it is "bacterial SSU rRNA". It matches the Rfam family "Bacterial small subunit ribosomal RNA", at positions 355 to 774 of the family's 1533-position model. Lineage: Bacteria; Pseudomonadati; Pseudomonadota; Betaproteobacteria. The record is from RNAcentral.
UGGGGAAUUUUGGACAAUGGGCGAAAGCCUGAUCCAGCCAUGCCGCGUGAGUGAAGAAGGCCUUCGGGUUGUAAAGCUCUUUUAGUCGGAAAGAAAGAGUUGCAAUGAAUAAUUGUGAUUUAUGACGGUACCGACAGAAAAAGCACCGGCUAACUACGUGCCAGCAGCCGCGGUAAUACGUAGGGUGCGAGCGUUAAUCGGAAUUACUGGGCGUAAAGGGUGCGCAGGCGGUCUUGCAAGUCAGAUGUGAAAGCCCCGGGCUUAACCUGGGAAUUGCGUUUGAAACUACAAGACUAGAGUGCAGCAGAGGGGAGUGGAAUUCCAUGUGUAGCAGUGAAAUGCGUAGAGAUGUGGAAGAACACCGAUGGCGAAGGCAGCUGGCUACGCGGAUAUUGACACUGAGGCACGAAAGCGUGGGGAUCAAACA